UGGGGAAUAUUGCACAAUGGGGGAAACCCUGAUGCAGCCAUGCCGCGUGUAUGAAGAAGGCCUUAGGGUUGUAAAGUACUUUCGGUGAUGAGGAAGGUACUUGGUCUAAUAGGCCAAGUAAUUGACGUUAAUUACAGAAGAAGCACCGGCUAACUCCGUGCCAGCAGCCGCGGUAAUACGGAGGGUGCGAGCGUUAAUCGGAAUGACUGGGCGUAAAGGGCAUGUAGGCGGAUGAUUAAGUUAGGUGUGAAAAUCCCCGACGCAGCUCAAACUUUGGGGAAAUUUGCAUUUAAAACUGGUCGUCUAGAGUAUUGUAGAGGAAGGUAGAAUUCCACGUGUAGCGGUGAAAUGCGUUAGAGAUGUGGAGGAAUACCGGUGGCGAAGGCGGCCUUCUGGACAGAUACUGACGCUGAGAUGCGAAAAGCGUGGGGAGCAAAC
Molecule: ribosomal RNA, 438 nt
Filed under: uncultured Orbus sp.
Lineage: Bacteria; Pseudomonadati; Pseudomonadota; Gammaproteobacteria; Orbales; Orbaceae
Description: bacterial SSU rRNA
Rfam family: Bacterial small subunit ribosomal RNA
Source: RNAcentral